This is a long non-coding RNA of Cyprinus carpio (common carp), 1081 nucleotides long. RefSeq lists it as uncharacterized. The transcript has 4 exons. The record is from RefSeq and is a predicted model, not a curated record. Lineage: Eukaryota; Metazoa; Chordata; Actinopteri; Cypriniformes; Cyprinidae.
UGUGUGAAUGCUUACUGGACGCCCUGUCCGAGUCUUUACUGUGAACUGUGAUGAAUUCAUUGGAAACCACAUGCGUGUAAACACAGCGGGUUGCACAACACGUGUAGUGCAUUUACUGUAAGUACAAAUGGGGAAAUAAAAUCACUCACUCCUGCUGCAUAAGCCAACAGAGUAUUUACAUACACCAGUGUUUCAUAAAGAGAAGAGGAUUAUUUAUGCCUACAUAAUGAGCGGUUUUACCACUUUAAGAAGGAAGUUGGUAGAUUAACUGUUGAUCAGCUGUGAUUGUUCCACUUAACUUACAUUAUAUCACCACAAAGAGUUGAUUCUGCGUCGCUUCUCCUAAAUGCUUUAGAUCAGCGAUUCCAACACUGUAUUUGGUGACAAAGCUGCUUGUUUUUAACAGAAACUGAGUAAACUGCGGCUCAGGACGCUCUGAAUGGAGUCCAGCAAGCUCGUAAUUUUACAUGUGUCCUUUGCACCACGCUUGUGACUCGGGUGGAAAUGGGUGUCAAAGGUGAGCGUGAAUCUGACAAAUACAGAAAUACAGACAGCAGGUCAAGGACGGCAGGUAGUUCAAGGGAGGGGCGGAGCCAGCUAAUGGUUACACUGAGUUAAACAAAUGAGCAGAGGGGGCGAGUCACAGAGGGGGUGGAGCCAGAGCCACAAACAGACACACCCACACAAGCAAAGUGAUUAUCUCAGUGGAAAAAUGGUCCAGAUGUCUCCUGCAUCCCUGCAGAUUCAUGUUCUCUUUUUUUUAAGUAUCACAGCAGGAGCGGCCCAGAAUGACCUAGAUCUGUAAAGGAGCGACGGCGGGACGUGCUGAGACGCUUACAGACAGAAAUACUGCUUAUUUUAGUGUACCACAUGCAAUUUUACAUAAAAAGUUUUUAUUAGACUCACUGUAAUUCAUUGUUGGUCAUAUUUAGUAUUCAACCAAUAAAGGGCAUGAUAUCAGCUGCUGUAAUGUCUAUAUACUGUAUGAAAUACAGCAAAAUCACAAGAGACAUGCACAAAAUUUAUGCAUUUACUUGUAAUUAUUAAAUCAUUCACUUAAAAUGUAUAAUUCGCUUUCAAG